AUGCAGCAACUUCAGGUACGGCAAAGGAAGGACAGUCACUGAUGGGAGGAGGAUUCGGUAUUCGUUUUUGGAUUCGGCAGAAUCUUAACCAUUGGAUUCAGUAUUCGGCCGAAACCCUAAAAUCUGGAUUCGGUGCAUCCCUAG
Long non-coding RNA from Sander lucioperca (pikeperch), 144 nucleotides. RefSeq lists it as uncharacterized. NCBI's taxonomy places the organism in Eukaryota, Metazoa, Chordata, Actinopteri, Perciformes, Percidae. The record is from RefSeq and is a predicted model, not a curated record. The transcript has 2 exons.